GAUGAACGCUGGCGGCGUGCCUAAUACAUGCAAGUCGAGCGAACAGAUGAGGAGCUUGCUCCUCUGACGUUAGCGGCGGACGGGUGAGUAACACGUGGAUAACCUACCUAUAAGACUGGGAUAACUUCGGGAAACCGGAGCUAAUACCGGAUAAUAUAUUGAACCGCAUGGUUCAAUAGUGAAAGACGGUUUUGCUGCCACUUAUAGAUGGAUCCGCGCCGCAUUAGCUAGUUGGUAAGGUAACGGCUUACCAAGGCAACGAUGCGUAGCCGACCUGAGAGGGUGAUCGGCCACACUGGAACUGAGACACGGUCCAGACUCCUACGGGAGGCAGCAGUAGGGAAUCUUCCGCAAUGGGCGAAAGCCUGACGGAGCAACGCCGCGUGAGUGAUGAAGGUCUUUGGAUCGUAAAACUCUGUUAUUAGGGAAAACAAAUGUGUAAGUAACUAUGCACGUCUUGACGGUACCUAAUCAGAAAGCCACGGCUAACUACGUG
RNAcentral lists this ribosomal RNA (496 nucleotides) under uncultured bacterium. RNAcentral describes it as "partial 16S ribosomal RNA". It matches the Rfam family "Bacterial small subunit ribosomal RNA", at positions 28 to 507 of the family's 1533-position model. The record is from RNAcentral.